Molecule: non-coding RNA, 418 nt
Organism: Sinocyclocheilus rhinocerous
Lineage: Eukaryota; Metazoa; Chordata; Actinopteri; Cypriniformes; Cyprinidae
Source: the annotation of a RefSeq genome assembly
CAUAAUCUUCAUCAUCACACAAGACAAAACAACAACAAUGACCAACAUCCUCAUCCUCAUCUGGACGCUCACACUGUUUGCUCAAGAGUGUAGAGGACAGAUCACUGUAACUCAGAGUCCAUCAAUAACAGCAGCUCAACCAGGACAAGAAGUCAGAAUCAACUGUAAAACCAGCAGUAAUGUCUACAGUGAUAGUCAUGGGUCACGGGUGAGCUGGUACUUACAGAAACCUGGAGAAGCUCCUAAACUCCUCAUAUAUCUUGCAACAAGCCGUUACACUGGAACUCCAUCUAGAUUCAGUGGCAGUGGAUCUAACAGUGAUUUCACUCUGACCGUCAGUGGAGUCCAGACUGAAGAUACAGGACAUUAUUACUGUCAGAGUGCACACUGUCCUAGUAGCUGUGUGUUCACACAGUGA